ACUAACGCUGGCGGCGUGCCUAAUACAUGCAAGUCGAACGGGAUUCUUUGAUCAGCUUGCUGAGAGAAGGAUCUAGUGGCGGACGGGUGAGUAACGCGUGGGAAUCUGCCUCUUACUGGGGGAUAACAGUGGGAAACUACUGCUAAUACCGCAUAAGAUCUUCGGAUGAAAGGUGCAACUGCACCGGUAAGAGAUGAGCCCGCGUCCCAUUAGCUAGUUGGUGAGGUAAAGGCUCACCAAGGCGACGAUGGGUAGCCGGCCUGAGAGGGUGAACGGCCACACUGGGACUGAGACACGGCCCAGACUCCUACGGGAGGCAGCAGUAGGGAAUCUUCCGCAAUGGGCGCAAGCCUGACGGAGCGACGCCGCGUGAGUGAUGAAGGCCUUCGGGUCGUAAAGCUCUGUUCUUGAGGACGAAUAAGCCAGGGAGUGGAAAGCCCUGGUGAUGACUGUACUCAAGGAGAAAGCUCCGGCUAACUACGUG
Molecule: ribosomal RNA, 484 nt
Filed under: uncultured bacterium
Lineage: Bacteria
Description: bacterial SSU rRNA
Rfam family: Bacterial small subunit ribosomal RNA
Source: RNAcentral